This 233-nucleotide ribosomal RNA is filed under the name uncultured bacterium. RNAcentral describes it as "partial 16S ribosomal RNA". It matches the Rfam family "Bacterial small subunit ribosomal RNA", at positions 794 to 1022 of the family's 1533-position model. The record is from RNAcentral.
UCCACGCCCUAAACGAUGUUCACUAGUCGUCGGAAUGCUAGUCAUUUCGGUGAUGCACUUAACAGAUUAAGUGAACCGCCUGGGGAGUACGGUCGCAAGAUUAAAACUCAAAGGAAUUGACGGGGGCUCACACAAGCGGUGGGAGCAUGCUGCUUAAUUCGAUGCAACGCGAAGAACCUUAUCCUGGGCUUGACAUGCAGGAAUACCUCCCUGGAAACAGGGUUGUUGCCCUU